AUGGCCAAAGACGCAUGGCAAUGCGUUGUGUCUCUUUAUCGGGGAAGCGCAAGCAUUCAACGCUCCAACUAUGAAGUGGUGCAAGAUGAAGCCGGUGAGUUUGCAAUGAAAGAAGAUGAAGAACCUCGUGAGCUCUUUCGGAGAGUGACCAAACUCGCGGUUUCACUCCGAGAUCAUGGAAGCAAGGACACGGAUGACAAUUGGAUCAAGCGCAAGUUCCUAAAGGCUAUGAUGCCCUACAACAAGGCCAUAUCCUCCAUCAUUCGUCAAAGACCGGACUUCCACUCCAUGACCUCAAGUGAAGUGUUCGAUUAG
This 315-nucleotide ribosomal RNA is filed under the name Triticum aestivum (bread wheat). Its description in RNAcentral is "partial small subunit ribosomal RNA". The record is from RNAcentral. Lineage: Eukaryota; Viridiplantae; Streptophyta; Magnoliopsida; Poales; Poaceae.